AUGGAGAGAUAUAGGGAGCAAAAGGAGGACUUGCAUAUGGUGUUCAUUGACUUGGAGAAGGCCUAUGAUAAGAUACCACGGAAUGUCAUGUGGUGGGCCUUGGAGAAGCACAAAGUCCCAGCAAAGUACAUUACCCUCAUCAAGGACAUGUACAAUAAUGUUGUGACAAGUGUUCGAACAAGUGAUGUCGACACUGACGACUUCCCGAUUAAGAUAGGACUGCAUCUGGGGUCAGCUUUGAGCCCUUAUUCUUUUGCAUUGGUGAUGGAUGAGGUCACAAGUGAUAUACAAGGAGAUAUCCCAUGGUGUAUGCUCUUUGCGGAUGAUGUGGUGCUAGUUGACGAUAGUCGGACAGGGGUAAAUAGGAAGUUAGAGUUAUGGAGACAAACCUUGGAGUCGAAAGGGUUUAGGCUUAGUAGAACUAAAACCGAGUACAUGAUGUGCGGUUUCAUUACUACUAGGUGUGAGGAGGAGGAGGUUAGCCUUGAUGGCCAGGUGGUUCCCCAGAAGGACACCUUUCGGUAUUUGGGGUCAAUGCUGCAGGGGGAUGGGGGUAUUGAUGAAGAUGUGAACCAUUGA
This 579-nucleotide ribosomal RNA is filed under the name Triticum aestivum (bread wheat). RNAcentral describes it as "partial small subunit ribosomal RNA". Lineage: Eukaryota; Viridiplantae; Streptophyta; Magnoliopsida; Poales; Poaceae. The record is from RNAcentral.